RNAcentral lists this signal recognition particle RNA (104 nucleotides) under Peptoniphilus sp. oral taxon 375 str. F0436. RNAcentral's name for it is "Bacterial signal recognition particle RNA". It matches the Rfam family "Bacterial small signal recognition particle RNA". From Rfam's summary of the family: The signal recognition particle (SRP) is a universally conserved ribonucleoprotein involved in the co-translational targeting of proteins to membranes. Lineage: Bacteria; Bacillati; Bacillota; Tissierellia; Tissierellales; Peptoniphilaceae. The record is from RNAcentral.
UGAUUGGGUCCUACGCAACAAAUGCUUUUGAACCGUGUCAGGUCCUGACGGAAGCAGCACUAAGGAAGAUGUUUUGUGUGCCGUAUGGGUCGCCUAGUCUGAGU